AGAGUUUGAUCCUGGCUCAGAACGAACGCUGGCGGCGUGCCUAACACAUGCAAGUCGAACGGGAUUAGGGGCUUGCUCCUAAUCUAGUGGCGCACGGGUGAGUAACGCGUAGAUAAUCUGCCUGAUGAUCUGGGAUAACACUUCGAAAGGGGUGCUAAUACCGGAUAAGCCCACGGGGUCUUUGGACUCUGCGGGAAAAGGGGGGGACCUUCGGGCCUUCUGUCAUCAGAUGAGUCUGCGUACCAUUAGCUAGUUGGUAGGGUAAUGGCCUACCAAGGCUACGAUGGUUAGCUGGUUUGAGAGAAUGAUCAGCCACACUGGAACUGAGACACGGUCCAGACUCCUACGGGAGGCAGCAGUGGGGAAUUUUGCGCAAUGGGCGAAAGCCUGACGCAGCAACGCCGCGUGAGUGAUGAAGGCUUUCGGGUCGUAAAGCU
RNAcentral lists this ribosomal RNA (437 nucleotides) under uncultured bacterium. RNAcentral describes it as "bacterial SSU rRNA". It matches the Rfam family "Bacterial small subunit ribosomal RNA", at positions 8 to 432 of the family's 1533-position model. The record is from RNAcentral.